GGUGAUUCAUAAUAACUUAACGAAUCGCAUGGCCUUGCGCCGGCGAUGGUUCAUUCAAAUUUCUGCCCUAUCAACUUUCGAUGGUAGGAUAGUGGCCUACCAUGGUCUCAACGGGUAACGGGGAAUUAGGGUUCUAUUCCGGAGAGGGAGCCUGAGAAACGGCUACCACAUCCAAGGAAGGCAGCAGGCGCGCAAAUUACCCAAUCCCAAUUCGGGGAGGUAGUGACAAUAAAUACUGAUACAGGGCUCUUUUGGGUCUUGUAAUUGGAAUGAGUACAAUCUAAAUCCCUUAACGAGGAACAAUUGGAGGGCAAGUCUGGUGCCAGCAGCCGCGGUAAUUCCAGCUCCAAUAGCGUAUAUUAAAGUUGUUGCCGUUAAAAAGCUCGUAGUUGAACCUUGGGCCUGGCUGAUCUGUCCUCCUAAUCGAGCGCACGGAUUCGGUCGGGCCUUUCCUUCUGGGGAGCCCGAUGUCCUUCACUGGGCGUCGCGGGGAACCAGGACUUUUACCUUGAAAAAAUUAGAGUGUUCAAAGCAGGCCUUUGCUCGAAUACAUUAGCAUGGAAUAAUAGAAUAGGACAGAGGUUCUAUUUUGUUGGUUUCUAGGACCGCUGUAAUGAUUAAUAGGGAUAGUCGGGGGCGUCCGUAUUCAAUUGUCAGAGGUGAAAUUCUUGGAUUUAUUGAAGACGAACUACUGCGAAAGCAUUCGCCAAGGAUGUUUUCAUUAAUCAGUGAACGAAAGUUAGGGGAUCGAAGACGAUCAGAUACCGUCGUAGUCUUAACCAUAAACUAUGCCGACUAGGGAUCGGACGGUGGUUUUUUUAUGCCCCGUUCGGCACCUUACGAGAAAU
Molecule: ribosomal RNA, 848 nt
Filed under: Knufia perfecta
Lineage: Eukaryota; Fungi; Ascomycota; Eurotiomycetes; Chaetothyriales; Trichomeriaceae
Description: SSU rRNA
Rfam family: Eukaryotic small subunit ribosomal RNA
Source: RNAcentral